Molecule: long non-coding RNA, 1406 nt
Filed under: Mytilus galloprovincialis (Mediterranean mussel)
Lineage: Eukaryota; Metazoa; Mollusca; Bivalvia; Mytilida; Mytilidae
Source: RNAcentral
CUUUUAAUGAAUAGUACAACUUACUAAAAAUUAAUAUAAAAAUUUUCUCUAUUUUUUUUAAUUUGAAUUUUACACUUUCAAAAGACAAAAUGAUAAUACCAUUUUUAUUUGACAUCAUGUUGAUGUUUUUAAACAAAGCAUUCUUCAUAGCAUUUAUCCAAUCUUUCAAGUUUAAUCCCAUUUGUAUAAAAAUCAUAAUUUUUCAAAUCUUCUCAGGAUUCAUGAGUAUAUGCAUUUAAAAAAUCCAAGUGCAAGUACAUGAAAAUAUAUUUAUUGACUAAAAUUAUUGAAUUUAUUCUGCAAUCAGCUACCUAUUGCACAUUGUUUUGCUUUAUUUUUAUUUAUAAUACAAAUAAAUUUUUGCUUUAUUUUGAAGAAAGACAGUCUCUAAAUUUUUUGUCUUCUUAGAGGGCUUCAUUUAAGUCAUGUUGAUUUCUAUAAAAUUCUAGGGCAAAAACUUGGGGAUUAAAAAAAUAAAUAAUUAAAACGUCAAGGGUAAAUUGCAGGAUAAAAACAACAUAUAUAUUUUGUUUGAAACAAAGAGAAAAGCUUUGAGAGCAUUGCUUCUUUUGUCUUGUUUCAAAAGCCUUCACAAUUAAAUUUCUUAUGUUGCCUUCUAUGUACAAAAUAUUUUAUAUGUAUUUUUUUUCUCCUGCUAUCAAAGUACAAGGUGCAAAUUGUUCAUCAUUUGUCCAUUUGAUGAUGUACCGUUUAACAAAUACACUUUGUCUUUCGUUUUCCAAAAAAGAGAUUCUUUGAAUUAGUCCGAGAUAACUAACAAGUUUUUCUGUAUUGUGAUGGUUCCGUCCAGGUAGAGGGAAAGUAAUUUAUUUAAACUUUUAUUUUUUUUAUCACAUUCCAUAUUUAUAUAUAAGCAUCAUCUGUGAUAUAUUUUAUAAUAAAUUAGUAUUUAUAAAUUUGUAUUAUUUUUCUUAUACAAAAGUCCAUGUAAUUGCAUUAUUUAUAUUUUAUUUUCCUACAAGCAUAGUUACAAAAGCAUGAUUUUGCCUACAGUUUUCACUGGCAGCAUUACCAAUUGCUUUAAUUAGUUGACACUUUAAAGACAUAUCUCUGUGUCAACAUUUUAUUCAUAUUAAAAACAUUUCACCACUCCACAAAGUCAAGAAAUUUUUUUUCAGCACUUUGAACACUUUUUUAGAAGAUUGCUGUCAAAUCCUAAUGGGUUCGUAAACUUUUUUUCAUUUUUUUAAAACUUAUUUUUAGGAUAAAGAACAAGGACUAGGAAUUUUCUAUAGUCUCAAAACCAGAACACUUGAAAAAUGAGAUGACAUGGACUUUUGUAAAGAAACUAGUAAAGCUAUUAUGAGCACAGUUAGAUAUUGUAUGAAUGUGUUAAUGGUUUGUUGUCAAACAACUAGUGAAAUCAUGCCAAGAAAUAAAAGAAG